RNAcentral lists this ribosomal RNA (426 nucleotides) under uncultured bacterium. Its description in RNAcentral is "bacterial SSU rRNA". It matches the Rfam family "Bacterial small subunit ribosomal RNA", at positions 355 to 777 of the family's 1533-position model. The record is from RNAcentral.
UAAGGAAUAUUGGUCAAUGGGCGGAAGCCUGAACCAGCCAUGCCGCGUGCAGGAAGACGGCCCUACGGGUUGUAAACUGCUUUUAUACCGGAAUAAACCUCUCUACGUGUAGAGAGCUGAAUGUACGGUAAGAAUAAGGAUCGGCUAACUCCGUGCCAGCAGCCGCGGUAAUACGGAGGAUCCAAGCGUUAUCCGGAUUUAUUGGGUUUAAAGGGUGCGUAGGUGGCCUGUUAAGUCAGGGGUGAAAGACGGUAGCUCAACUAUCGCAGUGCCUUUGAUACUGACGGGCUUGAAUGAACUAGAGGUAGGCGGGAUGUGACAAGUAGCGGUGAAAUGCAUAGAUAUGUCACAGAACACCAAUUGCGAAGGCAGCUUACUACGGUUUUAUUGACACUGAGGCACGAAAGCGUGGGGGAUCAAACAGGA